RNAcentral lists this ribosomal RNA (427 nucleotides) under uncultured bacterium. RNAcentral's name for it is "bacterial SSU rRNA". It matches the Rfam family "Bacterial small subunit ribosomal RNA", at positions 355 to 774 of the family's 1533-position model. The record is from RNAcentral.
UAGGGAAUAUUGGACAAUGGGAGCAACCCUGAUCCAGCCAUGCCGCGUGAGUGAAGAAGGCCCUCGGGUUGUAAAGCUCUUUUGUCCGGAAAGAAAAGCAUUCGGUGAAUACCCGGAUGUUCUGACGGUACCGGAAGAAUAAGCACCGGCUAACUUCGUGCCAGCAGCCGCGGUAAUACGAAGGGUGCAAGCGUUACUCGGAAUUACUGGGCGUAAAGCGUGCGUAGGUGGUUGUUUAAGUCUGAUGUGAAAGCCCUGGGCUCAACCGGGGGAUGGCAUUGGAAACUGGGCAGCGAGAGUGCGGUAGAGGGUAGUGGAAUUCCCGGUGUAGCAGUGAAAUGCGUAGAUAUCAGGAGGAACACCAGCGGUGUAGACAGCUGUCUGGACCAAAACUGACGCUGAGGCACGAAAGCGUGGGUAGCAAACA